AGAAUCAACGCUGGCGGCGUGCCUAACACAUGCAAGUCGAACGAGAAAGUGGAGCAAUCCAUGAGUAAAGUGGCGACCGGGUGAGUAACACGUGACUAACCUACCUUCGAGUGGGGGAUAACCUCGGGAAACCGAGGCUAAUACCGCAUAACAUCGCAAGAUCAAAGCAGCAAUGCGCUGGAAGAGGGGGUCGCGGCUGAUUAGCUAGUUGGCGGGUAACGCCCACAAGGCGAAGAUCGGUAUCCGGCCUGAGAGGGCGCACGGACACACUGGAACUGAAACACGGUCCAGACUCCUACGGGAGGCAGCAGUGGGGAAUUUUGCGCAAUGGGGGAAACCCUGACGCAGCAACGCCGCGUGGAGGAUGAAGCCCCUUGGGGCGUAAACUCCUUUCGACCAAGACGAUAAUGACGGUACUGGUGGAAGAAGCACCGGCUAACUCUGUGCCAGCAGCCGC
Molecule: ribosomal RNA, 457 nt
Filed under: uncultured bacterium
Lineage: Bacteria
Description: SSU rRNA
Rfam family: Bacterial small subunit ribosomal RNA
Source: RNAcentral